Molecule: ribosomal RNA, 255 nt
Filed under: uncultured bacterium
Lineage: Bacteria
Description: partial 16S ribosomal RNA
Rfam family: Bacterial small subunit ribosomal RNA
Source: RNAcentral
CGGAGGGCGUAGCGUUGUUCGGAAUUACUGGGCGUAAAGCGUACGUAGGCGGCUUUGUAAGUUAGAGGUGAAAGCCCGGAGCUCAACUCCGGAACUGCCUUUAAGACUGCAUCGCCUAGAACGUCGGAGAGGUGAGUGGAAUUCCGAGUGUAGAGGUGAAAUUCGUAGAUACUCGGAAGAACACCAGUGGCGAAAGGCGACUCACUGGACGACUGUUGACGCUGAGGUACGAAAGCGUGGGGAGCAAACAGGAUU